CCUACGGGGGGCAGCAGUGGGGAAUAUUGCACAAUGGGCGAAAGCCUGAUGCAGCAACGCCGCGUGAAGGAAGAAGGGUUUCGGCUCGUAAACUUCUAUCAACAGGGACGAAAGAAAUGACGGUACCUGAAUAAGAAGCCCCGGCUAACUACGUGCCAGCAGCCGCGGGAAUACGUAGGGGGCAAGCGUUAUCCGGAAUUACUGGGUGUAAAGGGAGCGUAGGCGGGAUUGCAAGUUGGAUGUGAAAACUGCGGGCUCAACCCGGAGCGU
This 270-nucleotide ribosomal RNA is filed under the name uncultured bacterium. Its description in RNAcentral is "partial 16S ribosomal RNA". It matches the Rfam family "Bacterial small subunit ribosomal RNA", at positions 338 to 622 of the family's 1533-position model. The record is from RNAcentral.